ACGAUUGACGGAGCGAAGCGACGUCAAAGCGUAUACAAAGUCGAGUCGGUUUAAGGAUACGUUCGUUGGGUAGGGGAGCGUUCUGUAAGCCUGCGAAGGUGGCCUGUGAGGGUUGCUGGAGGUAUCAGAAGUGCGAAUGCUGACAUAAGUAACGAUAAAGCGGGUGAAAAGCCCGCUCGCCGGAAGACCAAGGGUUCCUGUCCAACGUUAAUCGGGGCAGGGUGAGUCGACCCCUAAGGCGAGGCCGAAAGGCGUAGUCGAUGGGAAACGGGUUAAUAUUCCCGUACUUGGUGUUACUGCGAAGGGGGGACGGAGAAGGCUAUGUUGGCCGGGCGACGGUUGUCCCGGUUUAAGCGUGUAGGUGUGUGUUCCAGGUAAAUCCGGUUCACUUUAACACUGAGGCGUGACGACGAGGCACUACGGUGCUGAAGCAACAAAUGCCCUGCUUCCAGGAAAAGCCUCUAAGCAUCAGGUAACAUCAAAUCGUACCCCAAACCGACACAGGUGGUCAGGUAGAGAAUACCAAGGCGCUUGAGAGAACUCGGGUGAAGGAACUAGGCAAAAUGGUGCCGUAACUUCGGGAGAAGGCACGCUGACACGUAGGUGAAGUGAUUUACUCAUGGAGCUGAAGUCAGUCGAAGAUACCAGCUGGCUGCAACUGUUUAUUAAAAACACAGCACUGUGCAAACACGAAAGUGGACGUAUACGGUGUGACGCCUGCCCGGUGCCGGAAGGUUAAUUGAUGGGGUCAGCGCAAGCGAAGCUCCUGAUCGAAGCCCCGGUAAACGGCGGCCGUAACUAUAACGGUCCUAAGGUAGCGAAAUUCCUUGUCGGGUAAGUUCCGACCUGCACGAAUGGCGUAAUGAUGGCCAGGCUGUCUCCACCCGAGACUCAGUGAAAUUGAACUCGCUGUGAAGAUGCAGUGUACCCGCGGCAAGACGGAAAGACCCCGUGAACCUUUACUAUAGCUUGACACUGAACAUUGAGCCUUGAUGUGUAGGAUAGGUGGGAGGCUUUGAAGUGUGGACGCCAGUCUGCAUGGAGCCGACCUUGAAAUACCACCCUUUAAUGUUUGAUGUUCUAACGUGGACCCGUAAUCCGGGUUGCGGACAGUGUCUGGUGGGUAGUUUGACUGGGGCGGUCUCCUCCUAAAGAGUAACGGAGGAGCACGAAGGUUGGCUAAUCCUGGUCGGACAUCAGGAGGUUAGUGCAAUGGCAUAAGCCAGCUUGACUGCGAGCGUGACGGCGCGAGCAGGUGCGAAAGCAGGUCAUAGUGAUCCGGUGGUUCUGAAUGGAAGGGCCAUCGCUCAACGGAUAAAAGGUACUCCGGGGAUAACAGGCUGAUACCGCCCAAGAGUUCAUAUCGACGGCGGUGUUUGGCACCUCGAUGUCGGCUCAUCACAUCCUGGGGCUGAAGUAGGUCCCAAGGGUAUGGCUGUUCGCCAUUUAAAGUGGUACGCGAGCUGGGUUUAGAACGUCGUGAGACAGUUCGGUCCCUAUCUGCCGUGGGCGCUGGAGAACUGAGGGGGGCUGCUCCUAGUACGAGAGGACCGGAGUGGACGCAUCACUGGUGUUCGGGUUGUCAUGCCAAUGGCACUGCCCGGUAGCUAAAUGCGGAAGAGAUAAGUGCUGAAAGCAUCUAAGCACGAAACUUGCCCCGA
RNAcentral lists this ribosomal RNA (1661 nucleotides) under Salmonella enterica. RNAcentral describes it as "partial 23S ribosomal RNA". It matches the Rfam family "Bacterial large subunit ribosomal RNA", at positions 1182 to 2802 of the family's 2925-position model. Lineage: Bacteria; Pseudomonadati; Pseudomonadota; Gammaproteobacteria; Enterobacterales; Enterobacteriaceae. RNAcentral also lists the same sequence under 2 other names. The record is from RNAcentral.